AUUGAACGCUGGCGGAAUGCUUUACACAUGCAAGUCGAGCGGCAGCGCGGGGACAACCCUGGCGGCGAGCGGCGAACGGGUGAGUAACAUAUCGGAACGUACCCAGUCGUGGGGGAUAACUAUCCGAAAGGAUAGCUAAUACCGCAUACGUCCUGAGGGAGAAAGCGGGGGAUCGCAAGACCUCGCGCGAUUGGAGCGGCCGAUAUCGGAUUAGCUAGUUGGUGGGGUAAAGGCUCACCAAGGCGACGAUCCGUAGCGGGUCUGAGAGGACGACCCGCCACACUGGAACUGAGACACAGUCCAGACUCCUACGGGAGGCAGCAGUGGGGAAUUUUGGACAAUGGGGGCAACCCUGAUCCAGCCAUUCCGCGUGAGUGAAGAAGGCCUUCGGGUUGUAAAGCUCUUUCAGCAGGAACGAAACGGUGGUCCCUAAUACGGACUACUAAUGACGGUACCUGAAGAAGAAGCACCGGCUAACUACGUG
RNAcentral lists this ribosomal RNA (484 nucleotides) under uncultured bacterium. RNAcentral describes it as "bacterial SSU rRNA". It matches the Rfam family "Bacterial small subunit ribosomal RNA", at positions 29 to 507 of the family's 1533-position model. The record is from RNAcentral.